CACGUAGGCGGCUUGGUUAGUCAGAUGUGAAAGCCCGGGGCUUAACCUCGGAAGUGCAUUUGAUACUGCCAGGCUUGAGUAUGGGAGAGGGAAGUGGAAUUCCUGGUGUAGAGGUGAAAUUCGUAGAUAUCAGGAGGAACACCGGUGGCGAAGGCGGCUUCCUGGACCAAUACUGACGCUGAGGUGCGAAGGCGUGGGUAGCAAACA
This 207-nucleotide ribosomal RNA is filed under the name uncultured bacterium. Its description in RNAcentral is "partial 16S ribosomal RNA". It matches the Rfam family "Bacterial small subunit ribosomal RNA", at positions 568 to 774 of the family's 1533-position model. The record is from RNAcentral.